GCCCGGAUGGUGGAAUCGGUAGACACAAGGGAUUUAAAUUUAAAAUCCCUCGGCGUUCGCGCUGUGGAUUUAAAAUCCCUCGGCGUUCGCGCUGUGCGGGUUCAAGUCCCGCUCCGGGUACCA
RNAcentral lists this transfer RNA (123 nucleotides) under Salmonella enterica subsp. enterica serovar Baildon str. R6-199. RNAcentral describes it as "tRNA-OTHER". It matches the Rfam family "tRNA". From Rfam's summary of the family: Transfer RNA (tRNA) molecules are approximately 80 nucleotides in length. Their secondary structure includes four short double-helical elements and three loops (D, anti-codon, and T loops). Further hydrogen bonds mediate the characteristic L-shaped molecular structure. tRNAs have two regions of fundamental functional importance: the anti-codon, which is responsible for specific mRNA codon recognition, and the 3' end, to which the tRNAs corresponding amino acid is attached (by aminoacyl-tRNA synthetases). tRNAs cope with the degeneracy of the genetic code in two manners: having more than one tRNA (with a specific anti-codon) for a particular amino acid; and 'wobble' base-pairing, i.e. permitting non-standard base-pairing at the 3rd anti-codon position. Lineage: Bacteria; Pseudomonadati; Pseudomonadota; Gammaproteobacteria; Enterobacterales; Enterobacteriaceae. The record is from RNAcentral.